AGUGAACGCUGGCGGUAGGCCUAACACAUGCAAGUCGAACGGCAGCACAGUAAGAGCUUGCUCUUACGGGUGGCGAGUGGCGGACGGGUGAGGAAUACAUCGGAAUCUACUUUUUCGUGGGGGAUAACGUAGGGAAACUUACGCUAAUACCGCAUACGACCUACGGGUGAAAGCAGGGGAUCUUCGGACCUUGCGCGAUUGAAUGAGCCGAUGUCGGAUUAGCUAGUUGGCGGGGUAAAGGCCCACCAAGGCGACGAUCCGUAGCUGGUCUGAGAGGAUGAGAAGCAACACGGGAACGGAAAAGCGGUCAAGACUCCUCGGGAAGGCAGAAGGGGGAAAUAUGGGACAAGGGGAGAAAGCCUGAUCCAACCAUCCCGGGUGGGUAAAGAAGGCCUUGGGGUUGAAAACCCUUUUUGUGGGAAAAGAAAAGCAGAAGGUUAAUACCCCGCUGUUCUGACGGAACCAAAAAAAUAAGAACCGGCAAACUUCGUG
Molecule: ribosomal RNA, 492 nt
Filed under: uncultured bacterium
Lineage: Bacteria
Description: partial 16S ribosomal RNA
Rfam family: Bacterial small subunit ribosomal RNA
Source: RNAcentral